RNAcentral lists this ribosomal RNA (1317 nucleotides) under Triticum aestivum (bread wheat). Its description in RNAcentral is "partial small subunit ribosomal RNA". The record is from RNAcentral. Lineage: Eukaryota; Viridiplantae; Streptophyta; Magnoliopsida; Poales; Poaceae.
AUGGCGCACGACUUGCAGGACGACUUGGAGUUCGUCGCCGCCGGCCACGAUUACGACGACUUCGAGUUCGACGAUGCCGGUGGCAACGGGUUCCGAACCUCCGGCGGCGCUUCCCAAUACCAGCUGGAUACUGAGAUGAACGACACUUCAGCCUUGGAGUACAGACAAGGGAAAGACAUGCAAGAGAUACCCUGGGAGAGGUUGAACUACAGCAGGGAUCAGUACCGUCAGAUGAGGCUAAAACAGUACAAGAACUACCAGAGCCUCGCUAGGCCGCGAGAUACACUGGAAAAGGAAUGCCAACGAGGAGAGACAAGAGACGCCUUCUACGAUUUUCACUUGAAUACAAGACAUGUCAAGCCAACAAUAGUGCACUUUCAGCUGAGAAACCUCCUGUGGGCUACGUCCAAGCAUGAUGUCUACGUGACACAGAACUAUUCUGUGAUGCAUUGGUCAUCCCUACUCCGGAGAGGAAAAGAAGUGCUCAAUGUGGCAGGCCCAAAUCAGGAUAUGCGGGGAGGUCGGCCCUUGUCAAGGGUGCAGAUCAGCACCAUGACGGUAAAAGACAACCUCCUGGCGGCUGGUGGUUUCCAUGGGGAGUUGAUCUGCAAGUAUGUCGAUCAACCUGGAGUGGCGUUCUGUACGAACCUGGCCGGCAACAAGAAGUCCAUCACCAACGCCGUCGAGAUCUACGAAUCACCUAACGGCUCCACCCGGGUGGUGGCUGCCAACAACGACUGCGUUGUUAGAACUUUUGACACGGAGAAGUACAGCCUGCUCACCCAGUUCCCCUUUGCGUGGUCCGUCAACAACAUGUCCGUCAGCCCCGACGGGAAGCUGCUCGCGGUGGUCGGCGACAGCUCCGACUGCCUCAUCGCCGAUUCAGGGUCCGGCAAGGAAAUCGCGAGCCUGCGCGGCCACGCGGAUUACUCGUUCGCGUCGGCGUGGCACCCGGACGGGCGCGUGCUGGCCACGGGCAACCAGGACAGGACGUGCCGGCUGUGGGACGUGCGCAACCCGUCCGAGGCGUUCGCGGUGCUGGAGGGGAGGAUCGGCGCCGUCAGGGGGCUCAGGUUCUCGCCGGACGGCCGCUUCCUGGCCGCGGCGGAGCCGGCGGACUUCGUCUGCGUCUACGACGUGGCGGCGGGGUACGCACGCGCGCAGGAGAUCGAUCUGUUCGGGGAGAUCGCCGGCGUGUCCUUCAGCCCCGACGACGGCGCGGAGGCGCUGUUCGUGGGCGUCGCCGACCGUACGUACGGCAGUCUGCUCGAGUUCCGCAGGCGACACCGUCACGCCUACCUCGACUGCUACCUGUGA